CUAAAAGUUCCCUGAAAAGCCUUCAGUUAAUUCAAAAUGCUGCAGCUGGAGUACUGACGGGGACUAGAAGGAGAGAGCAUAUUUCACCCAUAUUGGCCUCUCUUCAUUGGCUUCGUGUCAAUUCUAGAAUCGAAUUUAAAAUUCAAUAGAGCGCUUCGCUCUCAGACUGCAGGCUUACUUGUAGUUCCU
Thalassophryne amazonica is the source of this 189-nucleotide long non-coding RNA. RefSeq lists it as uncharacterized. The record is from RefSeq and is a predicted model, not a curated record. NCBI's taxonomy places the organism in Eukaryota, Metazoa, Chordata, Actinopteri, Batrachoidiformes, Batrachoididae. The transcript is spliced from 3 exons.